RNAcentral lists this ribosomal RNA (806 nucleotides) under uncultured archaeon. RNAcentral describes it as "bacterial SSU rRNA". It matches the Rfam family "Archaeal small subunit ribosomal RNA", at positions 85 to 876 of the family's 1478-position model. The record is from RNAcentral.
ACGGCUCAGUAACACGUGGCUAACCCACCCUUGAGACGGAGAAAACCCCGGGAAACUGGGGUUAAUCUCCGAUAAGAGAAGACCCCGGAAUGGGUCUUCUCUCAAAGGGCGCCUAGACCAUGCUUCUAGGCGUUGCUCAAGGACGGGGCCGCGGCCGAUCAGGUUGUUGGUGAGGCAACGGCUCACCAAGCCUAUAACCGGUACGGGCCGUGAGAGCGGGAGCCCGGAGAUGGGCACUGAGACAAGGGCCCAGGCCCUACGGGGCGCAGCAGUUGCGAAAACUCCGCAAUGCACGAAAGUGUGACGGGGCUACCCCGAGUGCCGUCCGCUGAGGGCGGCUUUUCCCCGGUGUAAGGAGCCGGGGGAAUAAGGAGAGGGCAAGUCUGGUGUCAGCCGCCGCGGUAAUACCAGCUCUCCGAGUGGUAGGGAUGAUUAUUGGGCUUAAAGCGUCCGUAGCCGGCCCGGCAAGUCUUCCGUUAAAUCCAACGAUUCAAUCGUUGGACUGCAGGAGAUACUGUUGGGCUAGGGGGCGGGAGAGGCCGACGGUAUUCUCGGGGUAGGGGUAAAAUCCUAUAAUCCCGGGAGGACCACCAGUGGCGAAGGCGGUCGGCUAGAACGCGCUCGACGGUGAGGGACGAAAGCUGGGGGAGCGAACCGGAUUAGAUACCCGGGUAGUCCCAGCUGUAAACGAUGCGGGCUAGGUGUUGGGGCGGCUAGGGCCGCUUCAGUGCCGCAGGGAAACCAUUAAGCCCGCCGCCUGGGGAGUACGGCCGCAAGGCUGAAACUUAAAGGAAUUGGCGGGGGAG